UGGUGGCAACCCACUGGACGACUUGCUUGGCAACUCCUCAGUGCGAUUCCCCAUGCUUUCGAAGCAUGGAACGGGUGCUGGUUCCUGUGCUAUGUACCGCGGAUGCGGAAUUGGUUGUUCGGCUACCGUCUCUCUCCAUCGGCUGCUCCGAAUGUGCAGCGGACGGACAAGAUAGUGGUACCCGUGGCCCAUGCUUUGCCUCAGCUCUUCACGGGCAACGGCCGCAAUGGUCCAUCGGGUGCUUACUCGAUCUCUCGGAUUCGGAAUGCCUCAAUGGCAUGUGGCUGUCAAGCCUCGACAUGCCUCGUUACAUUGCACCAAUCGAAUGACACUCGCGCUGGCCGUAUGCCGACUCGUCGAGCCACAAGCUGGCGAGUCGUGCGGCCGUGCGGACGUCGUCAAUGGAUGCUACCUGGUUGAUCCUGCCAGUAGUCAUAUGCUUGUCUCAAAGAUUAAGCCAUGCAUG
Molecule: unclassified non-coding RNA, 466 nt
Filed under: Adenaria floribunda
Lineage: Eukaryota; Viridiplantae; Streptophyta; Magnoliopsida; Myrtales; Lythraceae
Description: partial external transcribed spacer
Rfam family: Eukaryotic small subunit ribosomal RNA (bases 410-466)
Source: RNAcentral